AAAGGGAGACCUAAUUCGGGUAGAAGACGAAAAAAUAGUAGUCGAAACCAAGAAUCAAUCCCAAAAGGUCGGAACGAGGUAUGUGGCUUUCAAACUAGGUUCUGGGUUCAUAAAAGACCUGAAUCAGGAACAAGGGCUAUUAGCUCAGGUGGUUAGAGCGCACCCCUGAUAAGGGUGAGGUCCCUGGUUCGAGUCCAGGAUGGCCCACCUGCACAGGUGGCAAAAACAAGAGAAGCGAGGAAUCAGCACCUUAUCUUAUAUACAUAUAUAAGAGAGAAUGCUGGCUCUGAGUACAGAGUCCAGAGGAACCUUGAAAACUGCAUAGAGCUAGGUGAAAAAGCCAAAAAAGAAGACCGCAAG
RNAcentral lists this transfer RNA (360 nucleotides) under uncultured Microcystis sp. Its description in RNAcentral is "partial 16S-23S ribosomal RNA intergenic spacer". The stretch from base 134 to 207 matches the Rfam family "tRNA". The record is from RNAcentral. Lineage: Bacteria; Bacillati; Cyanobacteriota; Cyanophyceae; Chroococcales; Microcystaceae.